CGAGCGGCGGACGGGUGAGUAAUGUAUGGGGAUCUGCCCGAUAGAGGGGGAUAACUACUGGAAACGGUGGCUAAUACCGCAUAAUCUCUUAGGAGCAAAGCAGGGGACCUUAGGGCCUUGCGCUGUCGGAUGAACCCAUAUGGGAUUAGCUAGUAGGUAAGGUAAUGGCUUACCUAGGCGACGAUCCCUAGCUGGUCUGAGAGGAUGAUCAGCCACACUGGGA
RNAcentral lists this ribosomal RNA (223 nucleotides) under Providencia stuartii. RNAcentral describes it as "partial 16S ribosomal RNA". It matches the Rfam family "Bacterial small subunit ribosomal RNA", at positions 92 to 318 of the family's 1533-position model. Lineage: Bacteria; Pseudomonadati; Pseudomonadota; Gammaproteobacteria; Enterobacterales; Morganellaceae. The record is from RNAcentral.